Molecule: unclassified non-coding RNA, 923 nt
Filed under: Hevea brasiliensis (rubber tree)
Lineage: Eukaryota; Viridiplantae; Streptophyta; Magnoliopsida; Malpighiales; Euphorbiaceae
Source: RNAcentral
UUUGUGUCCUGUUACACUAGGUGGUGGCACCACUUCUGAUCCUGCCAAAGCAAUUGCAGCUGCUGCAGCUGCUAAUAAUAUGAAAGGUGGUGUGUUGCCUUCGCAGGGCAUUCUUCAUGCUGCCCAAUAUACAACACAAACAUCAGGAAGUCAACAUCAGCUUUUGCCUGCUGGUUUCUCUUAUGUGCACCCUGUUCCUACUGCAGUUCAAGUAAAGCCAGCUGAACAGAAACAACCUGCGGGAAAUGACAAUUUGCAUGCGUGCUGGCAGCCUGAGAAGAAAUGAACACUGUACAACUUGAUGGAGCACAGCCAAGCAGAGGCACAUCAGUGAACCUCAGAAGUUGGAAUGAAGAACUCGCAGUUUUGAAGGAGGCACCAUAUGGGUUUUUUGACGACUGAUCCUCGGAGAGAUUUUGCACGAAACGCAAGUCAAUCAACAUGUCGAUUGACAUCGUAUAACGCAUUCUCGUGGUGUAUAAUCUGACUGCCUAAUAGGGAUAUCACAAAUGAAAGUGCUGCUGCUCGACUGGUUGGUUUUUUGAUGAUCACAGGAUGGUUUGCUGGAAUAUUGAUCAGCCAGCUCUUUCCUGCAUUUUGAUGGUGGUGGUUAGGUUCAGGAAAGAAAAAGGUUUUUGGUUCCUUUUUCCUCCCCCCUUUUUUGGGGGGUUAGGGGGGGAAAGCAGGUCAGUGAUAAAAACUAAGAAAAUAGUGAAAAGGUUGUAUUGCCUUCCAAGUUUUUCAGUAGGAACUCUCUGAUGCUUCAGUAAUUCAUUAUUCUUUUCCUUCUCUUAAAAGGUGUUUCUACUGGCUUGAAUUAUUAUACAGCAGUUUCUGGACAGUAGUAUCUUUUUUUGGACAUAUUAUAAGUAUAUGCAAGGUGUAUAUGUGUAUAUCUUGGCACAUAUAUAAAUGGAAUAGCC